RNAcentral lists this ribosomal RNA (253 nucleotides) under uncultured bacterium. RNAcentral describes it as "partial 16S ribosomal RNA". It matches the Rfam family "Bacterial small subunit ribosomal RNA", at positions 524 to 776 of the family's 1533-position model. The record is from RNAcentral.
UACAGAGGUGGCAAGCGUUGUUCGGAAUUACUGGGCGUAAAGGGCGCGUAGGCGGUCUUGCAAGUCCUGUGUGAAAUCCCUCGGCUCAACUGAGGAACUGCACAGGAAACUGCUUGGCUUGAGUUCGGGAGAGGGAAGCGGAAUUCCGGGUGUAGCGGUGAAAUGCGUAGAUAUCCGGAGGAACACCGGUGGCGAAGGCGGCCUCCUGGACCGACACUGACGCUGAGGCGCGAAAGCUAAGGGAGCAAACGGG